CCACCGCGGGCGUGUGGCGUAUUUUUGUGAGAGCAGGAGUGUGGCCACGCCCGGACUGUGCAUGGUUAGUGCACGGAAGUUGGUGGCAAUAACAGGUCUGUGAUGCCCUUUGAUGUUCUGGGCUGCACGCGCGCUACACUGACCGGGGGAGCGAGUGAGCUGAUCCGAGAGGAUUUGCGAAUCUUGAGAGCCGGUCGUGCUGGGGAUCGACUGCUGCAAUUAUGAGUUGUGAACGAGGAAUUCCUAGUAAGCGCCGAUCAUUAGUUGGCGCUGAUUACGUCCCUGCCCUUUGUACACACCGCCCGUCGCUACUACCGAUUGGCUGCUGUGGUGAGUUUUUUAGAGGGCGACUGAAAAGGAGCGAACCAUGGCAGCUAGAGGAAGUAAAAGUCG
This 393-nucleotide ribosomal RNA is filed under the name Microsporidia sp. clade III. RNAcentral's name for it is "SSU rRNA". It matches the Rfam family "Eukaryotic small subunit ribosomal RNA", at positions 1337 to 1791 of the family's 1831-position model. Lineage: Eukaryota; Fungi; Microsporidia. The record is from RNAcentral.